AAAAAAAAAAAAACUCUACAAGCAAUUACAGACAAGAACAUGAAAAACAAGCUAAAAAAGUAAUAACCUCCAAUCAAGGUUGAUAACACUCAAAGAAAACCCCUAAAAUAGAAACUUAUCUCUCAUCUACAUAACAAUUUCAAGGUCCAGAAUAAUGGUUUGUGCAUGCAAUCAUGUGGGAUUACAAAGGUAAAGGCUUUCCAGCAAGUAUCUUUUAUUCCUUGUUCGUCUGUGGAAGAAUUCUUGAGUUACAAAAGUAAAAUUAGCUUCUUUCACGCUUUUAUGAGUUCUAAUCAAUUUUUUGUUGCCUAAAUUAUCAAAUUCCAAAGAAAAAAAAAUUUAGUUUCCAACAUCCAAAUUCUAAUGUUUUCUCCACUCGACCAUAUAUGUAGGUCUGCUCCAAAAUCAUUGAUUUUUCCAAUAUGG
This 426-nucleotide unclassified non-coding RNA is filed under the name Hevea brasiliensis (rubber tree). The record is from RNAcentral. Lineage: Eukaryota; Viridiplantae; Streptophyta; Magnoliopsida; Malpighiales; Euphorbiaceae.